This 544-nucleotide long non-coding RNA is filed under the name Apteryx haastii (Great spotted kiwi). RNAcentral's name for it is "lncRNA (ENSAHAG00000010459.1)". The record is from RNAcentral. Lineage: Eukaryota; Metazoa; Chordata; Aves; Apterygiformes; Apterygidae.
AGUAAGAGGGGAUCAUGCACGGCUUCCCACAAGGCUGGCUUUUCUGGUUAGACUACAUCUCCAGUAAUGCUCGAUGGAUAUGGAUUCCUACAGUGCCUUCCUCCCUUUAUCUAGCAGAGAGAGGUAAGUGUGGAAAGGAAAUGCUGAGACAGUUGAGAGCCCAGUACACAAAUAAAAGCAUUCAAACAAUUUUCAACAGAUCUCAUUGAUCUGAGUGUUUGUCAGGUUUCAUUUUUUUCCAUACUUCUGCUGCAAAACCCAAGUAACUCUCUCACUGAAUCCCCUGUUCUUCUUACCUCUUGAUUCUAAGAGGUGUGGUUAGAUUCAACAGUUUCAGUAAGGAGAAGAAUGUGUGAGAAAACAUUAAGCUCUUGUUUCUGUGCUCUCCAGCUCUAAAUCCUUCUCAGAAUCCUACCUGCAUAUAAUAUGCUAUGCUUUUACUCUUGCAGUCUUUGAACAGAAAACACUUCUUUCUUAAAUUUCACCAGUAGCUUUUUGUCUAAAAAAGAGCAACAGAAAAAAUUUUCUACCCUUCAAGACACAG